UGAAUACGAGACGCUACGGCGUCGAAGCAGUCUAUGUCAUACUUCCAAGAAAAGCUUGCACUGUCAUAAACAAAUAAUGCCUGUACCAUAACCGACACAGGUGGGUAGGUAGAGUAUACUAAGGGGCGCGAGAUAACUCUCUCUAAGGAACUCGGCAAAUGACUCCGUAACUUCGGGAGAAGGAGUGCCUUAUUUAUAAGGUUGCAAUAACAAGAUCCAAGCAACUGUUUAUCAAAAACACAGGUCUCCGCUAAGUCGUAAGACGAUGUAUGGGGGCUGACGCCUGCCCAGUGCCAGAAGGUUAAAGAAGUUGGUUAGCAUUAGCGAAGCUGAUAACUGAAGCCCUGGUGAACGGCGGCCGUAACAAUAACGGUCCUAAGGUAGCGAAAUUCCUUGUCGGGUAAGUUCCGACCCGCACGAAAGGCGUAAUGAUUUGGAUACUGUCUCGGAGAGGGGCUCGGUGAAAUAGACUUGUCUGUGAAGAUGCGGACUACCUGCACCUGGACAGAAAGACCCUAUGAAGCUUUACUGUAACCUGAAAUUGAAAUUGGACUUUAUUUGCGCAGUAUAGGUGGGAGGCGUUGAGAAUAUUCUUGCGGGAAUAUUGGAGCCAUCAGUGAGAUACCACUCUUGUAAUGUUAGAUUUCUAACUUUGAAUCAUUAUCUGGUCAAAGAACAGUUUCAGGCGGGCAGUUUGACUGGGGCGGUCGCCUCCUAAAUGGUAACGGAGGCGCACAAAGGUUUCCUCUGAACGGGUAGAAAUCGUAUCUAGAGUGUAAAGGCAUAAGGAAGCUUGACUGUGAGACCUACAAGUCGAGCAGGGACGAAAGUCGGUCUUAGUGAUCUGACGGUGCUGAGUGGAAAGGCCGUCACUCAACGGAUAAAAGUUACUCUAAGGAUAACAGGCUGAUCUCCCCCAAGAGUUCACAUCGACGGGGAGGUUUGGCACCUCGAUGUCGGCUCAUCGCAUCCUGGGGCGGUAGUACGUCCCAAGGGUUGGGCUGUUCGCCCAUGAAAGCGGUACGCGAGCUGGGUUCAGAACGUCGUGAGACAGUUCGGUCCAUAUCCGGUGUAGGCGUUAGAAUAUUGAGAGGAGCCUUCUUUAGUACGAGAGGACCGAGAAGGACAUACCUCUGGUGUACCAGUUAUCGUGCCAACGGUAAACGCUGGGUAGCUAUGUAUGGAGAGGAUAACCGCUGAAAGCAUCUAAGUGGGAAGCCCACCUCAAGAUAAGUAUUCGC
RNAcentral lists this ribosomal RNA (1241 nucleotides) under metagenome. RNAcentral describes it as "bacterial LSU rRNA". It matches the Rfam family "Bacterial large subunit ribosomal RNA", at positions 1564 to 2815 of the family's 2925-position model. The record is from RNAcentral.